RNAcentral lists this ribosomal RNA (649 nucleotides) under Ophiopterus cincticornis. Its description in RNAcentral is "eukaryotic LSU rRNA". The stretch from base 470 to 649 matches the Rfam family "Eukaryotic large subunit ribosomal RNA", at positions 665 to 809 of the family's 3401-position model. Lineage: Eukaryota; Metazoa; Arthropoda; Insecta; Hymenoptera; Ichneumonidae. The record is from RNAcentral.
CCUGAGAAACCCAAAAGAUCGAAUGGGGAGAUUCAUCGUCAGGGAUCUCGGCACGCGCGCGGUUCGCGAUCCCGGGAGGCCUCGGCCCCCCGGGACACGUCCGCGCGCGAUCUUUUGCCGGGUGUCGUCGGCGUGCACUUCUCCCCUAGUAGGACGUCGCGACCCGUUGGGUGUCGGUCUACGGCCCGGGAGGGCGCCUGUCGCGUGUCUCGCUUAACGGCGCGUCAUACGGCAGACCCCCGGUUGCCCGACCAGCUGCCCGGCGGUACUCGCACGGUAUCGAGCCGCAACUAUUCGAAUUGCGUCCGGCCCGCCGCAAGCGAGGCCAGUGAUCCCGGAUGUAACGGACCUAGCGCCGUCGCCGGGCCUGGCCGGCUGUUGGUUGGCGGUGCCCUCGGACUGGCUCUUAAUUUUACCGGUCGGCGACGCUACUGCUUUGGGUACUUUCAGGACCCGUCUUGAAACACGGACCAAGGAGUCUAACAUGUGCGCGAGUCAUUGGGAAUAUCGUUAAGCCUAAAGGCGCAAUGAAAGUGAAGGUCGGCCUCCGCGCCGACCGAGGGAGGAUGGGUCGCGUCGAGAUGCGGCCCCGCACUCCCGGGGCGUCUCGUUCUCAUUGCGAGAAGAGGCGCACCCAGAGCGUACACGU